RNAcentral lists this RNase P RNA (321 nucleotides) under Helicobacter muridarum. RNAcentral describes it as "Bacterial RNase P class A". It matches the Rfam family "Bacterial RNase P class A". Rfam says of the family: Ribonuclease P (RNase P) is a ubiquitous endoribonuclease, found in archaea, bacteria and eukarya as well as chloroplasts and mitochondria. The record is from Rfam by way of RNAcentral. Lineage: Bacteria; Pseudomonadati; Campylobacterota; Epsilonproteobacteria; Campylobacterales; Helicobacteraceae.
UUGGUAUAGCAGGUAAUUGCUUUUUAAAAGAGGAAAGUCCGAGCUACCGAGACAGGAUUCCAUUUAACCAAUGGCUAGGGUAACCUAAGGGAUAGUGCAACAGAAAUAUACCGCCAAUAUAUUUAAUAUUGGUAAGGGUGAAAAGGCAGGGUAAGAGCCUACCGAUUUUUUAGCAAUAAAAAAUGCCAUGUAAACCCAAUCCGUAGCAAGAAUAGCAGGUAAAUGUCUCAAUAUUAGCUAUUCGCUAGAAUGAUAUUGUGAAAUAUCAUCAAGAUAAAUAAUUACCUAAAACAGAACUCGGCUUAUAGCUAUGCCAAAUCU